This 206-nucleotide long non-coding RNA is filed under the name Lathyrus oleraceus (garden pea). RNAcentral describes it as "Pisum sativum (pea) long non-coding RNA (PSAT_LNC016303)". The record is from RNAcentral. Lineage: Eukaryota; Viridiplantae; Streptophyta; Magnoliopsida; Fabales; Fabaceae.
CAAGCUCCACAAACUUGCCAUGCCAAAAGAAAAUAGGAGAAGCCUUGUAUGGACUUUAGGUUUUUUGCUUGACCAAGAAGCAACCUAUCUUGGACACAAGGCAACUCACUUGAUCUUGGAUCAAGUUGAGUUUGAUUUGGAUCAAAGAAGGUUAAACCUCUCAUUUGUCAAGACCAACCAUAAGACAUUAACUCAUUGGCCAAAAA